GGUCCCAUCGUCUAGCCUGGCCCAGGACAGCGGAUUUUCAUUCCGCCAACAGGGGUUCGAAUCCCCUUGGGACCG
This is a non-coding RNA of Candidatus Wildermuthbacteria bacterium, 75 nucleotides long. The record is from Rfam. NCBI's taxonomy places the organism in Bacteria, Candidatus Wildermuthiibacteriota.